CCUACGGGACGCAGCAGUGAGGGAUAUUGGUCAAUGGUCGGGAGACUGAACCAGCCAAGCCGCGUGAGGGAAGACUGCCCUAUGGGUUGUAAACCUCUUUUGUCAGGGAGCAACGCCGGCUACGUGUAGCCGGACUGAGAGUACCUGAAGAAAAAGCAUCGGCUAACUCCGUGCCAGCAGCCGCGGUAAUACGGAGGAUGCGAGCGUUAUCCGGAUUUAUUGGGUUUAAAGGGUGCGUAGGCGGAAUGCCAAGUCAGCGGUAAAAUCGCGGGGCUCAACCUCGCUCCGCCGUUGAAACUGGCGUU
This 305-nucleotide ribosomal RNA is filed under the name uncultured bacterium. Its description in RNAcentral is "bacterial SSU rRNA". It matches the Rfam family "Bacterial small subunit ribosomal RNA", at positions 338 to 640 of the family's 1533-position model. The record is from RNAcentral.